Molecule: ribosomal RNA, 728 nt
Filed under: uncultured Lachnospiraceae bacterium
Lineage: Bacteria; Bacillati; Bacillota; Clostridia; Lachnospirales; Lachnospiraceae
Description: bacterial SSU rRNA
Rfam family: Bacterial small subunit ribosomal RNA
Source: RNAcentral
GACGAACGCUGGCGGCGUGCCUAACACAUGCAAGUCGAACGGAACUGUUUUGAAAGAUUUCUUCGGAAUGAAUUUGAUUUAGUUUAGUGGCGGACGGGUGAGUAACGCGUGAGUAACCUGCCUUCAAGGGGGGGAUAACAUUCUGAAAAGAAUGCUAAUACCGCAUGACAUAUCGGAAUCACAUGAUUUUGAUAUCAAAGAUUUUAUCGCUUGAAGAUGGACUCGCGUCCGAUUAGUUAGUUGGUGAGGUAACGGCUCACCAAGACCGCGAUCGGUAGCCGGACUGAGAGGUUGAACGGCCACAUUGGGACUGAGACACGGCCCAGACUCCUACGGGAGGCAGCAGUGGGGGAUAUUGCGCAAUGGGGGCAACCCUGACGCAGCAACGCCGCGUGAAGGAUGAAGGUUUUCGGAUUGUAAACUUCUUUUAUUAAGGACGAAAAAUGACGGUACUUAAUGAAUAAGCUCCGGCUAACUACGUGCCAGCAGCCGCGGUAAUACGUAGGGAGCAAGCGUUGUCCGGAUUUACUGGGUGUAAAGGGUGCGUAGGCGGCUUUGCAAGUCAGAUGUGAAAUCUAUGGGCUCAACCCAUAAACUGCAUUUGAAACUGUAGAGCUUGAGUGAAGUAGAGGCAGGCGGAAUUCCCCGUGUAGCGGUGAAAUGCGUAGAGAUGGGGAGGAACACCAGUGGCGAAGGCGGCCUGCUGGGCUUUAACUGACGCUGAGGCA